CCUGACUAUGGAAGACCUUCGCAGCUCCAUUGCCGCUGCCAACGUCAACCAGGCCAAGGGGGGCUUCGAUGGCCCUCGCCAGGCC
This 85-nucleotide transfer RNA is filed under the name Geobacter sp. AOG2. RNAcentral's name for it is "tRNA-Gly". The record is from RNAcentral. Lineage: Bacteria; Pseudomonadati; Thermodesulfobacteriota; Desulfuromonadia; Geobacterales; Geobacteraceae.